AGACCUGUCUCAGUUCGGAUUGGAGUCUGCAACUCGACUCCAUGAAGCUGGAUUCGCUAGUAAUCGCGCAUCAGCCAUGGCGCGGUGAAUACGUUCCCGGGCCUUGUACACACCGCCCGUCAAGCCAUGGAAGCCGGGAGUGCCUGAAGUGUGCAACCGCAAGGAGCGCCCUAAGGUAAAACUGGUGACUGGGGCUAAGUCGUAACAAGGUAUC
RNAcentral lists this ribosomal RNA (214 nucleotides) under uncultured bacterium. RNAcentral describes it as "partial 16S ribosomal RNA". It matches the Rfam family "Bacterial small subunit ribosomal RNA", at positions 1279 to 1500 of the family's 1533-position model. The record is from RNAcentral.